CAUUAUGAAGCUUCAUAGCAUUAACCUUUUAAGUUAAAGAAUGAAACCAAUUAAGUUUCCAUAAUGA
This 67-nucleotide transfer RNA is filed under the name Carterodon sulcidens (Owl's spiny rat). Its description in RNAcentral is "tRNA-Lys". Lineage: Eukaryota; Metazoa; Chordata; Mammalia; Rodentia; Echimyidae. The record is from RNAcentral.